This is a long non-coding RNA of Bufo bufo (common toad), 911 nucleotides long. RefSeq lists it as uncharacterized. The transcript is spliced from 3 exons. The record is from RefSeq and is a predicted model, not a curated record. Lineage: Eukaryota; Metazoa; Chordata; Amphibia; Anura; Bufonidae.
CAGAGAGUACUGCAAACCUUUCUGGAACUAAUUUCGUACUGUAGGCCGUGGAUCCCUGAUGCAUCCGUUCUGAUGCAGCCACUGUAUGACUGCAUACCCCGUGUUGCUACUGUUCCUUUCCAAAUGACUGCAGAGGCCAUAGAAGCAUUCGAAUCUCUCAAACAAGCCAUUAUCACUGCCCCAGCUCUUGGCAUUCCUAACUAUAAACUUCCCUUCCGCCUUUAUGUCAUGGAACGUCAGGGUCAUGCUACAGGAGUUCUCACCCAGAGCCAUGGGGGUCGUAAUAGACCUCUAGGUUACUUUUCAAAACGUCUAGACCCUGUAGCCAGAGCCACCCCUUCCUGUGUCAGGGCCGUUCAUGCUGCUAGCUCACUUCUGAACGCCACCGCUGACAUUAUCCUAGGACACCCCCUCACCAUCAUGGCUCCUCAUGACAUCUCGGCUAUCCUUCAACAGACACAACCUAAACACUUCACUGCACAAUGCCACCUCAGGCUUCAGUGUAGUCUGCUUCUACCAGAUAAUGUCACCAUUCAGAGAUGCCACAUCCUCAACCCGGCUGCACUCCUUCCUCUCCCAAGGGGGGAGUAUACUGCAGAAAGAGAUUCUGUGGAUUUUAUUGAUUUACAAGCAGAAGAGGAUCUCCAGGAAGAGGAAUUAUGGACAGCUAUUGGCUCACCUAAUGAGGAACCAGAUCAUGAUUGCAUUACAAUGAUGGAAGCUGAAGUGGGAACAGCACCAUCAAUACAAGAUACUCCCUUGCAAAACCCACAUUGGACACUGUUUGUGGACAGGUCAAGGUAUGCCGAUGACAAAGGGAAAUUCCAUAGAGGCAUGGCAGUCACUAGUGAGUACAAAGUGCUGUGUGCAAGGCAAUUGCGCCCAGACCAGUCAGCACAAGAGACUGAACU